CCUACGGUGUGCAGCAGUGAGGAAUAUUGGUCAAUGGCCGUAAGGCUGAACCAGCCAAGUAGCGUGAAGGAAGAAGGCCCUCGGGUUGUAAACUUCUUUUGUCAGGGACGAAAAAAAUGACGGUACCUGACGAAUAAGCCACGGCUAACUACGUGCCAGCAGCCGCGGUAAUACGUAGGUGGCAAGCGUUAUCCGGAUUUACUGGGUGUAAAGGGCGUGUAGGCGGGAGAGCAAGUCAGAUGUGAAAUUCCAGGGCUCAACCCUGGAACUGCAUUUGAAACUGUUUAUCUUGAGUGAUGGAGAGGCAGGCGGAAUUCCGUGUGUAGCGGUGAAAUGCGUAGAUAUACGGAGGAACACCAGUGGCGAAGGCGGCCUGCUGGACAUUAACUGACGCUGAGGCGCGAAAGCGUGGGGAGCAAACAGGAUUAGAUACCCCGGUAGUC
This 443-nucleotide ribosomal RNA is filed under the name uncultured bacterium. RNAcentral describes it as "partial 16S ribosomal RNA". It matches the Rfam family "Bacterial small subunit ribosomal RNA", at positions 338 to 795 of the family's 1533-position model. The record is from RNAcentral.